This 292-nucleotide ribosomal RNA is filed under the name uncultured bacterium. RNAcentral describes it as "partial 16S ribosomal RNA". It matches the Rfam family "Bacterial small subunit ribosomal RNA", at positions 505 to 796 of the family's 1533-position model. The record is from RNAcentral.
GUGUCAGCCGCCGCGGUAAUACGUAGGGGGCGAGCGUUGUCCGAAGUUACUGGGCGUAAAGCGCGCGUAGGCGGCUUCUUAAGUGGCCGGUGAAAUCCCCGGGCUCAACCCGGGAGUGUCUGGUCAUACUGGGAGGCUGGAGUGUGGGAGAGGAGAGUGGAACUCCAGGUGUAGCGGUGAUAUGCGUAGAGAUCUGGAAGAACACCCGUGGCGAAGGCGGCUCUCUGGACCACAACUGACGCUGAGGCGCGAAAGCCAGGGGAGCGAACGGGAUUAGAUACCCGUGUAGUCC